Molecule: unclassified non-coding RNA, 1072 nt
Filed under: Leishmania donovani
Lineage: Eukaryota; Euglenozoa; Kinetoplastea; Trypanosomatida; Trypanosomatidae
Description: gene:unknown
Source: RNAcentral
AUGUGUGUGCACGUGUAUGUAUGUGUACAUAUAUAUAUAUGUGGGUGUUUGUGUCUCCGUGUCUGAUCGAAGGAGGCCGGCCUCCCUCUUCAACUCCGUCACUUUCUCUGUGCCUAUCGUGAAGUUAUGUUUGCUCGCGUCUUUAUCGUCGUUUCCAGUUGUCUUCAGAUGGGGCUUGCCUUUCAGAACUCCCUGGUGACCGGGACACACACGCAUACACACCCCUCUUCGCGCGUGGCAUCGCAGGGCGCAGUACACCCCUCCCCCUCCCCACGCUCUGUGUGGGGGAAGCUAUGCAGCCCCCACCCCCUAUCCCUGCCAACGCCGAGCCACUUCAGGUGGUGAAAACUUCACGCACCUCGGACAUGGCGGAGGGCGGGAGGGUCAGAGCGAUGUACCGCCACGCAUGCCGGCGGUCAGGCUGUGGACAUUGUUGCGCUGGAGAGGCCAGCGACGGUGCGCACGCUUCUGCCAUCCACGUGAUAGGCGGCGUAUCCGCGUGACUCGAACGUAUCCCACACGGCCCUCGCACUGCCUGCUGGUGGAGGCACAGCCUGCGCGACCGCGAGGAGAUGCACUGGGUGGCGACCAGCACAAUGGGUGGCGCGGCUGCGAGGCGACCGGCUAAGCGGCGGUGAUGGGUGGAGCCUGGCGCAGGGGGCCGUGCUCCGAUGACGGAGUCGGCGCACUCUCUAGCGCGUGUGUCCACGGCUGCUUCGCACCACGCGGUGGGGUCUGUGGCAGGCCGGGGGCGGGUGGAGUGGCGUGCAACUCAUGUUGUAUGGCAGAGAGGGUGGAAGACACCUUGACGGAAAAGACGCGCACUGCAUUUGGACAUCUCGGACGAGGCGCGCAUUCGUGUGGUGUGCGCUUGUGUUUUUAACGAUGAGUUUGAUGGAGGAUUUUGCCAUGGUAUUGCCUGCAAAUGUGGUUGCCGGGAAAACGCGGCUUCAUCGUGGCGGCGUGCAUAGUGCAAAAUUCACAGACCGCCUCUCACGUGACACACAGACAGCCGUUUCUGUCCUCUGUCUCGUCUCGAUAACGUGAGGCAUGGUUCUCAUGGAAGUCGAAG